UAUUUUCUCCGAUGGCUACCCUAUUUUUACGCCACGGUAUGUUGGUAUUAUUGUUGGUGACACGUAAAUUGUAUCUACAACAGUGUGCCUAAAGAGUGUCCACGUGGACAUUUCUUUCGGCCGACCUUUAUCGUGUGUCUCUUUCGGGUGAAUCACUACUAUAAUAUUACAGUUCGGUGAUCCAUAUUUUCCCAUCUAUUUACUCGUGAUUUUUAAAAAAAUUACCAAUCUGUUUGUCUUUUCUAGUUUGUAAUGAUUCAUCGUUCUAAUAUUACACGUGUUUAAAAUAAUUUUUAAAAUGAAAAAUUUUUUCUAUCGUAAAAAUUAUUUCUCCUUAGAGAAGACUGAGAAUUUUUAGCAAUAAUAACAUAAUAAUUCUAAAUAUACUUCAAUUAAUGAGAAAUGUUUUAUUUUUACAAUGAAUUUUAUUUCGAAACAGUGACAUACUAAAUUACUACUACCAUGCGACAAAUGUUCUAGCAUAUCGUUGCGGGCAUAUCGCGGACAGGCAACUGAAUUAAUUACAACGCUCGAGACGCUUCCCGGCGAAGUUAAAUAAGCGUUAACGUUGAAUUUUCAUUUCCCGCCAUGUUGACGCCGAAACCAGCCGAAUUUCAGGGACGAUCGCAAAGCUGUGCCACGUGCGAUAUCAAGGCUAUAUUUCAACAAUAGGAAAAAAUGAAAGUAGUACGAUAGUUGCACAAUGUUGAAUCAGGAAGUUGAAUCAGAAAGGAAGAAAAACAUAUUAUUUUUAUAAAAAACGAAAAACAAGUCGACAAAAUAAUUCAACUUGUAACAUACUACCACUAAUAUGAUGAUAUUUUACGAAAUGAAUCAGCUAUUACGAAAGUUUCAACUUUGAUAAAACUAAUAUGGCACGUUCAGCCAUAAAUUUCUAUUUUAAAAUCUAAAUUUCUUAGAAAUAAAUAGAAAUCUAAAUCUUUUGUACCCAUGGUCAACAACUUUAUAGGAAGAAUUAAAGUAAUUUCAUACUUGUCACGCACGAAAUGAAGUAUGUAUACCGGAAGUCAAUGUUCUAAGCUUAGUUAGUCAAUCGGAUUACGAUACACGAAACCAGAGAUAUAGAAAGGCCAUGAAAAAAAUAUAUUAACAACGAACAAAUUAUUUAGAAGAAGAAAGAUCAGUAGAAGCAGUGAGAACAUAACGUGAGAACACAUGAUCGAAGAAGCUUACGGAAAAAUUGAGUAUUACGUAAUUUAAUUACCAUUGAACAUAAUUUUAAAAUCUUAUGUAACAACAACAGAGAAUGAAAUAAAUGAAAAUUUUCUCGUCAUAUAAUAAUAUAAUAUAUUGCACAAAAGAUAGGAUCCACAUAAAACCGUUAAUAUUUCCGUUGUUUUUCAAAAAUUUCUUUUGCUUGUGUGCGUAUAUAUGUAUAUAUAGCAUGUAUAAGUGUUCGCGAUGUUCUGUUGACAUGAAGAACCGUUAGAAGGAUUCUAACAUUCGUUUAUGUGUGUUAUUACUAAUCUAUUCCCGAAAACGAGUUUACAACGAACGCAUUAUGAAGUUUCCAACAUUUAAAAAUAUCAAAUAACGAUCUUUUCUAAUAAUAUGUAUUGAACGAUAUCAUUAGAAUGGAUACUAAAAAUUUUAAGAAUAAUCGAGAAUAAAAAAAAA
Molecule: long non-coding RNA, 1638 nt
Filed under: Apis florea (little honeybee)
Lineage: Eukaryota; Metazoa; Arthropoda; Insecta; Hymenoptera; Apidae
Description: uncharacterized LOC116415041
Source: RNAcentral